RNAcentral lists this small RNA (799 nucleotides) under Pterygellus polymorphus. Its description in RNAcentral is "eukaryotic LSU rRNA". The stretch from base 334 to 532 matches the Rfam family "5.8S ribosomal RNA". Lineage: Eukaryota; Fungi; Basidiomycota; Agaricomycetes; Cantharellales; Hydnaceae. The record is from RNAcentral.
CUUGGUCAUUUAGAGGAAGUAAAAGUCGUAACAAGGUUUCCGUAGGUGAACCUGCGGAAGGAUCAUUCAUUGAGCAUGUAGGCCUUGUUCAUUCAGGCUUUACACAAAGCUUUUUUUUUUUUUCUUGACUCCAAGUGAGGUUUAGAUGAGCUCACUGUGAUGCUGGCUUUAGCACCCUUUGUGAUUUGCUUUCGGGUGUCUUUUAUCUAUCCAGCCUUAAUUGGUCAUGUAUUGUGGUCAUGUUUUGAAAGCAAUCCACUCUUGGAGGGGAUGGGAUCCCUAUCCUUCUUUUUGAGUUUCCAUGAGCUUGGUUAAAAAGAGCUUUCAUUUUACAACUUUCAGCAAUGGAUCUCUUGGUUCUCGCAUCGAUGAAGAACGCAGUGAAAUGCGAUAACUGGUGUGAAUUGCAUCCAUGUAACUCUAAUUUACGAAUAACACCAAGUGAAUCAUCGAGUCUUUGAACGCAAUUGCGCCCUCUCGGUCGCUUCCAAUUGGGGGUUGACUCAUAGGGGGUACAUCUGUUCGAGGGUCAUUUGGAUCUCUCAAAGGGGUUUGUUGCACCCUUUGGAUUUUGGGUCUUGCCGUGAAAUCUAUCUUGGCUCACCUUGAAAGCAUUAGCAAGCUUCCCAAGUCUUUUGAUGUUGAGAGGGUGUUCUAAAUUGGUCUCAAGCCCAGAACAUCAUAAAAGUGACUUGUAUGAGUGGUCCUGAAGCUGGCUUCCAAUCAUCCUUAUAGGAUGUGUGGGUGUAUUGCAUUGAGCUGCAUUGAGCUCUUUCAGUGCAUAUCAAUAAGCGGAGGA